GAGUCUAGAAAACUUACGGCAUUUACAAC
This 29-nucleotide small RNA is filed under the name Bombyx mori (domestic silkworm). RNAcentral describes it as "ovarian small RNA-16009". The record is from RNAcentral. Lineage: Eukaryota; Metazoa; Arthropoda; Insecta; Lepidoptera; Bombycidae.